This 521-nucleotide ribosomal RNA is filed under the name uncultured Glomeromycotina. RNAcentral describes it as "SSU rRNA". It matches the Rfam family "Eukaryotic small subunit ribosomal RNA", at positions 569 to 1092 of the family's 1831-position model. Lineage: Eukaryota; Fungi; Glomeromycota. The record is from RNAcentral.
AGCAGCCGCGGUAAUUCCAGCUCCAAUAGCGUAUAUUAAAGUUGUUGCAGUUAAAAAGCUCGUAGUUGAAUUUCGGGAUCAAGGGAUCGGUCAUGCCUUGGUAUGUACUGGUUUUAUUGGUUCUCACCUUCUAAAGAACCAUAAUGUCAUUUAUUUGAUGUUAUGGGGAAUUAGGACUGUUACCUUGAAAAAAUUAGAGUGUUCAAAGCAAGCUUACGCUUGAAUACAUUAGCAUGGAAUAAUGAAAUAGGACAUCAGAUUCUAUUUUGUUGGUUUCUAGGAUCGAUGUAAUGAUUAAUAGGGAUAGUUGGGGGCAUUAGUAUUCAAUUGUCAGAGGUGAAAUUCUUGGAUUUAUUGAAGACUAACUACUGCGAAAGCAUUUGCCAAGGAUGUUUUCAUUAAUCAAGAACGAAAGUUAGGGGAUCGAAGACGAUCAGAUACCGUCGUAGUCUUAACCAUAAACUAUGCCGACUAGGGAUCGGAUGAUGUUAAUUUUUUAAUGACUCAUUCGGCACCUUACG